This 512-nucleotide ribosomal RNA is filed under the name uncultured bacterium. Its description in RNAcentral is "bacterial SSU rRNA". It matches the Rfam family "Bacterial small subunit ribosomal RNA", at positions 29 to 530 of the family's 1533-position model. The record is from RNAcentral.
AACAAACGCUGGCGGCGUGCCUAACACAUGCAAGUCGUACGAGAAAGUCGGCUUCGGCCGAUGAGUACAGUGGCGCACGGGUGAGUAGCGCGUGGGUAAUCUGCCCCCCGGUCAGGAAUAACCCGCCGAAAGGCGGGCUAAUACCCGAUAACACUGACGCUCCGCGGAGCGUCUUUCAAAGGAGGCCUCUGUUUACAAGCUUUCGCCGGAGGAUGAGCCCGCGUACCAUUAGCUAGUUGGCAGGGUAAUGGCCUACCAAGGCUGCGAUGGUUAGCUGGUCUGAGAGGAUGGCCAGCCACACUGGAACUGAGACACGGUCCAGACUCCUACGGGAGGCAGCAGUGAGGAAUCUUGCGCAAUGGGGAAACCCUGACGCAGCAACGCCGCGUGAGUGAGGAAGGCCUGGUCGUAAGCUCUGUCAGAUGGAAGAAAGUAGGGUGGGGGCGUAAGUAUCGCCCGACUCCUUGUACCGGGUACCAGUACAGAGGAAGACGACCGGACGUAACUCCCGG